Molecule: ribosomal RNA, 373 nt
Filed under: uncultured organism
Description: bacterial SSU rRNA
Rfam family: Bacterial small subunit ribosomal RNA
Source: RNAcentral
CGUAGGGCGCAAGCGUUGUCCGGAUUUAUUGGGCGUAAAGAGCUCGUAGGCGGCUUGUUGCGUCGACCGUGAAAACCCGCGGCUUAACCGUGGGCUUGCGGUUGAUACGGGCGGGCUGGAGUUCGGUAGGGGAGACUGGAAUUCCUGGUGUAGCGGUGAAAUGCGCAGAUAUCAGGAGGAACACCGGUGGCGAAGGCGGGUCUCUGGGCCGAUACUGACGCUGAGGAGCGAAAGCGUGGGGAGCGAACAGGAUUAGAUACCCUGGUAGUCCACGCUGUAAACGUUGGGCGCUAGGUGUGGGGGUCCUCUCCGGGUCUCUGUGCCGCAGCUAACGCAUUAAGCGCCCCGCCUGGGGAGUACGGCCGCAAGGCUA